AGGACGAACGCUGGCGGCGUGCUUAACACAUGCAAGUCGAGCGGAAAGGCCCUUCGGGGUACUCGAGCGGCGAACGGGUGAGUAACACGUGAGCAAUCUGCCCCUAGCUCUGGGAUAGCUCCGGGAAAACCGGGAUUAAUACCAGAUACAACCACUUUAGACAUCUUUUGUGGUGGAAAGGAUUCCGGCUAGGGAUGAGCUCGCGGCCUAUCAGCUUGUUGGUUGGGGUAACGGCCCACCAAGGCGACGACGGGUA
Molecule: ribosomal RNA, 256 nt
Filed under: uncultured bacterium
Lineage: Bacteria
Description: partial small subunit ribosomal RNA
Rfam family: Bacterial small subunit ribosomal RNA
Source: RNAcentral